Molecule: ribosomal RNA, 344 nt
Filed under: Vespa mandarinia (Asian giant hornet)
Lineage: Eukaryota; Metazoa; Arthropoda; Insecta; Hymenoptera; Vespidae
Also listed under: 1 other name
Description: partial 12S ribosomal RNA
Source: RNAcentral
UUUAAUUAAUUUUUGUUAAAUUAAAUUAAGUAUUAAAUGUUAAAUCAUUAAAUUGAAAAAAUUUGGCGGUAUUUUAUAUAAUUAGAGGAAUUUGUUGUGUAAUUGAUAGUACACGAUAAGAAAAACUUUAUAAUAAUUUUAUGUAUUGCUGUUUGUAAAGAUUUAUUAAAUAAAUUUUUAGAUAUUAAUUUAAAUUUUAAUUCAAGUCAAAGUGUAGAUUUUUAAAGAAUUAAAUGAAUUACAAUUAUAUAAAUAUUGAAUUAUUGGAUUUAAUUUUAUUAUGAAAUUGGAUUUAAAAGUAAAAUUUAAUUAAUUAAUUAAUUUGAAUUUUUUUUAAAAUAUGU